UACGUAGGGUGCGAGCGUUGUCCGGAAUUAUUGGGCGUAAAGAGCUCGUAGGCGGCCUGUCGCGUCGGUUGUGAAAGCCCGGGGCUUAACCCCGGGUCUGCAGUCGAUACGGGCAGGCUAGAGUUCGGUAGGGGAGAUCGGAAUUCCUGGUGUAGCGGUGAAAUGCGCAGAUAUCAGGAGGAACACCGGUGGCGAAGGCGACUACCUGGCCUGUUCUUGACGCUGAGGCGCGAAAGCUAGGGGAGCAAACGGG
Molecule: ribosomal RNA, 253 nt
Filed under: uncultured bacterium
Lineage: Bacteria
Description: partial 16S ribosomal RNA
Rfam family: Bacterial small subunit ribosomal RNA
Source: RNAcentral